GGUUAAGCGACUAAGCGUACACGGUGGAUGCCCUGGCAGUCAGAGGCGAUGAAGGACGUGCUAAUCUGCGAUAAGCGUCGGUGAGGUGAUAUGAACCGUUAUAACCGGCGAUUUCCGAAUGGGGAAACCCAGUGUGUUUCGACACACUAUCAUUAACUGAAUCCAUAGGUUAAUGAGGCGAACCGGGGGAACUGAAACAUCUAAGUACCCCGAGGAAAAGAAAUCAACCGAGAUUCCCCCAGUAGCGGCGAGCGAACGGGGAGGAGCCCAGAGCCUGAAUCAGUGUGUGUGUUAGUGGAAGCGUCUGGAAAGGCGCGCGAUACAGGGUGACAGCCCCGUACACAAAAAUGCACAUAUUGUGAGCUCGAUGAGUAGGGCGGGACACGUGGUAUCCUGUCUGAAUAUGGGGGGACCAUCCUCCAAGGCUAAAUACUCCUGACUGACCGAUAGUGAACCAGUACCGUGAGGGAAAGGCGAAAAGAACCUCGGCGAGGGGAGUGAAAAAGAACCUGAAACCGUGUACGUACAAGCAGUGGGAGCCUCUUAAUGGGGUGACUGCGUACCUUUUGUAUAAUGGGUCAGCGACUUAUAUUCUGUAGCAAGGUUAACCGAAUAGGGGAGCCGAAGGGAAACCGAGUCUUAACUGGGCGUUAAGUUGCAGGGUAUAGACCCGAAACCCGGUGAUCUAGCCAUGGGCAGGUUGAAGGUUGGGUAACACUAACUGGAGGACCGAACCGACUAAUGUUGAAAAAUUAGCGGAUGACUUGUGGCUGGGGGUGAAAGGCCAAUCAAACCGGGAGAUAGCUGGUUCUCCCCGAAAGCUAUUUAGGUAGCGCCUCGUGAAUUCAUCUCCGGGGGUAGAGCACUGUUUCGGCAAGGGGGUCAUCCCGACUUACCAACCCGAUGCAAACUGCGAAUACCGGAGAAUGUUAUCACGGGAGACACACGGCGGGUGCUAACGUCCGUCGUGAAGAGGGAAACAACCCAGACCGCCAGCUAAGGUCCCAAAGUCAUGGUUAAGUGGGAAACGAUGUGGGAAGGCCCAGACAGCCAGGAUGUUGGCUUAGAAGCAGCCAUCAUUUAAAGAAAGCGUAAUAGCUCACUGGUCGAGUCGGCCUGCGCGGAAGAUGUAACGGGGCUAAACCAUGCACCGAAGCUGCGGCAGCGACACUAUGUGUUGUUGGGUAGGGGAGCGUUCUGUAAGCCUGUGAAGGUGGCCUGUGAGGGUUGCUGGAGGUAUCAGAAGUGCGAAUGCUGACAUAAGUAACGAUAAAGCGGGUGAAAAGCCCGCUCGCCGGAAGACCAAGGGUUCCUGUCCAACGUUAAUCGGGGCAGGGUGAGUCGACCCCUAAGGCGAGGCCGAAAGGCGUAGUCGAUGGGAAACAGGUUAAUAUUCCUGUACUUGGUGUUACUGCGAAGGGGGGACGGAGAAGGCUAUGUUGGCCGGGCGACGGUUGUCCCGGUUUAAGCGUGUAGGCUGGUUUUCCAGGCAAAUCCGGAAAAUCAAGGCUGAGGCGUGAUGACGAGGCACUACGGUGCUGAAGCGACAAAUGCCCUGCUUCCAGGAAAAGCCUCUAAGCAUCAGGUAACAUCAAAUCGUACCCCAAACCGACACAGGUGGUCAGGUAGAGAAUACCAAGGCGCUUGAGAGAACUCGGGUGAAGGAACUAGGCAAAAUGGUGCCGUAACUUCGGGAGAAGGCACGCUGAUAUGUAGGUGAAGCGACUUGCUCGUGGAGCUGAAAUCAGUCGAAGAUACCAGCUGGCUGCAACUGUUUAUUAAAAACACAGCACUGUGCAAACACGAAAGUGGACGUAUACGGUGUGACGCCUGCCCGGUGCCGGAAGGUUAAUUGAUGGGGUUAGCGGUAACGCGAAGCUCUUGAUCGAAGCCCCGGUAAACGGCGGCCGUAACUAUAACGGUCCUAAGGUAGCGAAAUUCCUUGUCGGGUAAGUUCCGACCUGCACGAAUGGCGUAAUGAUGGCCAGGCUGUCUCCACCCGAGACUCAGUGAAAUUGAACUCGCUGUGAAGAUGCAGUGUACCCGCGGCAAGACGGAAAGACCCCGUGAACCUUUACUAUAGCUUGACACUGAACAUUGAGCCUUGAUGUGUAGGAUAGGUGGGAGGCUUUGAAGUGUGGACGCCAGUCUGCAUGGAGCCGACCUUGAAAUACCACCCUUUAAUGUUUGAUGUUCUAACGUGGGCCCCUUACCGGGGUUGCGGACAGUGUCUGGUGGGUAGUUUGACUGGGGCGGUCUCCUCCUAAAGAGUAACGGAGGAGCACGAAGGUUGGCUAAUCCUGGUCGGACAUCAGGAGGUUAGUGCAAUGGCAUAAGCCAGCUUGACUGCGAGCGUGACGGCGCGAGCAGGUGCGAAAGCAGGUCAUAGUGAUCCGGUGGUUCUGAAUGGAAGGGCCAUCGCUCAACGGAUAAAAGGUACUCCGGGGAUAACAGGCUGAUACCGCCCAAGAGUUCAUAUCGACGGCGGUGUUUGGCACCUCGAUGUCGGCUCAUCACAUCCUGGGGCUGAAGUAGGUCCCAAGGGUAUGGCUGUUCGCCAUUUAAAGUGGUACGCGAGCUGGGUUUAGAACGUCGUGAGACAGUUCGGUCCCUAUCUGCCGUGGGCGCUGGAGAACUGAGGGGGGCUGCUCCUAGUACGAGAGGACCGGAGUGGACGCAUCACUGGUGUUCGGGUUGUCAUGCCAAUGGCACUGCCCGGUAGCUAAAUGCGGAAGAGAUAAGUGCUGAAAGCAUCUAAGCACGAAACUUGCCCCGAGAUGAGUUCUCCCUGACUCCUUGAGAGUCCUGAAGGAACGUUGAAGACGACGACGUUGAUAGGCCGGGUGUGUAAGCGCAGCGAUGCGUUGAGCUAACCGGUACUAAUGAACCGUGAGGCUUAACCUU
Molecule: ribosomal RNA, 2904 nt
Filed under: Escherichia coli
Lineage: Bacteria; Pseudomonadati; Pseudomonadota; Gammaproteobacteria; Enterobacterales; Enterobacteriaceae
Also listed under: 1 other name
Description: 23S ribosomal RNA
Rfam family: Bacterial large subunit ribosomal RNA
Source: RNAcentral